RNAcentral lists this transfer-messenger RNA (210 nucleotides) under Planctomycetota bacterium. RNAcentral describes it as "partial transfer-messenger RNA". It matches the Rfam family "transfer-messenger RNA", at positions 153 to 374 of the family's 374-position model. From Rfam's summary of the family: Bacterial tmRNA, also known as 10Sa RNA or SsrA, is named for its dual tRNA and mRNA-like properties. Its role is to liberate the mRNA from a stalled ribosome. Lineage: Bacteria; Pseudomonadati; Planctomycetota. The record is from RNAcentral.
UGGCGAUAAAAGCAAUCGCGAAUUUGAGAAUGAAAUGAUCAAACCAGAAGGGGCACGAAACGCUGUUCCUUCUUAUACGACUGAAGAAAUAAUUGCUGAAGCUGAAAAGCUUUACGCAUUUGUUCAGAAGAAAGAUUAAGAUAUAACCUUGUAUAUCGCAAAUUUAUUUAAGCAUUGUGGACGCGGGUUCGAUUCCCGCCGCCUCCACCA